This 279-nucleotide long non-coding RNA is filed under the name Gossypium barbadense (sea-island cotton). RNAcentral describes it as "long non-coding RNA (GBAR_LNC001156)". Lineage: Eukaryota; Viridiplantae; Streptophyta; Magnoliopsida; Malvales; Malvaceae. The record is from RNAcentral.
UUGUUUGAAGGUGGUGAGCUUGAGAAUUACGUAAUUAAGAUGAAGGAAAAGGAGGCAAAAGGAAAUGAAAAAGGUGAAGGUUCCAUUGAGAUAUUUGGAUUAAUUGAUGCCAUGGCACCAUUGAUUUGAUAGAGAUUUGUGUGGUUUUCUCGUAGAAUCUUGCAAAACUCAAAUUACAAGGAUAAGCCCAAUGCAUUGCCGAAAGAGGGGGUACUGUUCAUGGCAUUUUUUUCGUUAGAAUAAAGAAAAGAAUUAAUUCGAAAUGUAAUUUGAUUUGUU